GCAGCAGCCGCGGUAAUACGUAGGGGGCGAGCGUUGUCCGGAUUUACUGGGCGUAAAGAGCGCGUAGGCGGCUUGUCAAGUCGUGCGUGAAAUACCUCGGCUCAACCGGGGGGUGUCGGGCGAUACUGGCAGGCUUGAGGCUGGUAGGGGGAAGUGGAAUUCCCGGUGUAGUGGUGGAAUGCGUAGAUAUCGGGAGGAACACCAGUGGCGAAGGCGGCUUCCUGGACCAGUCCUGACGCUGAGGCGCGAAAGCGUGGGGAGCGAACUGAAUUAGAUACUCAGGUAGUCCACGCUGUAAACUAUGGGUGCUAGGUGUCGGGGGUAUCGACCCCUCCGGUGCCGCAGCUAACGCAUUAAGCACCCCGCCUGGGGAGUACGGCCGCAAGGCUAAAACUUAAAGGAAUUGGCGGGGGAC
This 415-nucleotide ribosomal RNA is filed under the name uncultured bacterium. Its description in RNAcentral is "bacterial SSU rRNA". It matches the Rfam family "Bacterial small subunit ribosomal RNA", at positions 508 to 921 of the family's 1533-position model. The record is from RNAcentral.